UAGGGAAUCUUCCGCAAUGGGCGAAAGCCUGACGGAGCAACGCCGCGUGAGUGAUGAAGGUCUUCGGAUCGUAAAACUCUGUUAUUAGGGAAGAACAUAUGUGUAAGUAACUGUGCACAUCUUGACGGUACCUAAUCAGAAAGCCACGGCUAACUACGUGCCAGCAGCCGCGGUAAUACGUAGGUGGCAAGCGUUAUCCGAAAUUAUUGGGCGUAAAGCGCGCGUAGGCGGUUUUUUAAGUCUGAUGUGAAAGCCCACGGCUCAACCGUGGAGGGUCAUUGGAAACUGGAAAACUUGAGUGCAGAAGAGGAAAGUGGAAUUCCAUGUGUAGCGGUGAAAUGCGCAGAGAUAUGGAGGAACACCAGUGGCGAAGGCGACUUUCUGGUCUGUAACUGACGCUGAUGUGCGAAAGCGUGGGGAUCAAACAGGAUUAGAUACCCUGGUAGUCCACGCCGUAAACGAUGAGUGCUAAGUGUUAGGGGGUUUCCGCCCCUUAGUGCUGCAGCUAACGCAUUAAGCACUCCGCCUGGGGAGUACGACCGCAAGGUUG
Molecule: ribosomal RNA, 550 nt
Filed under: uncultured bacterium
Lineage: Bacteria
Description: bacterial SSU rRNA
Rfam family: Bacterial small subunit ribosomal RNA
Source: RNAcentral